This is a non-coding RNA of Pelobates cultripes (western spadefoot toad), 445 nucleotides long. NCBI's taxonomy places the organism in Eukaryota, Metazoa, Chordata, Amphibia, Anura, Pelobatidae. The record is from the annotation of a GenBank genome assembly.
AAAUACCUUGUGUGUAUGGAGGAUUCCUCUCUCUUAGCAAACUGCCUUAUACAUACACACACUCACAAAAAACAGCCUUAUACAUAUAAACACUCACAACGCCUAAUACACACACACACACACACACACAAAGUGCCUUAUACAUUCAUGGAAACAAAAUGCCUAAUACACAUAUACAGAAACAUACGAAUACAUACAUACACCAAAACAUAAAAACUGCAUCAUACUCACAAACUCUUCCUAAUACAUAUACACACACUGCCUAAUGCAUACACUUACACUCUGCCUAAUACUGCAGACUGACACUAACACUGACCCACACACAUACACACACUGAUCCAUACACAGGCUCACACACACACAAGCUACACAUUCCCUGACAGUCACACAGUACAGAAUACCUGCAGCAGCCUUUGCAUACACACAAACAAACACACACUUUCUC